AGUGAACGCUGGCGGUAGGCCUAACACAUGCAAGUCGAACGGCAGCACAGGAGAGCUUGCUCUCUGGGUGGCGAGUGGCGGACGGGUGAGGAAUACAUCGGAAUCUACUCUGUCGUGGGGGAUAACGUAGGGAAACUUACGCUAAUACCGCAUACGACCUACGGGUGAAAGCAGGGGACCUUCGGGCCUUGCGCGAUUGAAUGAGCCGAUGUCGGAUAGCUAGUUGGCGGGGUAAAGGCCCACCAAGGCGACGAUCCGUAGCUGGUCUGAGAGGAUGAUCGGCCACACUGGAACUGGGACACGGUCCAGACUCCUACGGGAGGCAGCAGUGGGGAAGAUUGGACAAUGGGCGCAAGCCUGAUCCAGCCAUACCGCGUGGGUGAAGAAGGCCUUCGGGUUGUAAAGCCCUUUUGUUGGGAAAGAAAUCCAGCUGGCUAAUACCCGGUUGGGAUGACGGUACCCAAAGAAUAAGCACCGGCUAACUUCGUGCCAGCCGCCGCGGUAA
This 505-nucleotide ribosomal RNA is filed under the name uncultured bacterium. RNAcentral's name for it is "partial 16S ribosomal RNA". It matches the Rfam family "Bacterial small subunit ribosomal RNA", at positions 29 to 523 of the family's 1533-position model. The record is from RNAcentral.